Molecule: long non-coding RNA, 11791 nt
Filed under: Setaria italica (foxtail millet)
Lineage: Eukaryota; Viridiplantae; Streptophyta; Magnoliopsida; Poales; Poaceae
Description: long non-coding RNA (SITA_LNC004435)
Source: RNAcentral
CAGUGUGUGCCACCAGCAGUAGCCUAGAUUUAAUAUGAAACUCCUAAGCAUGAAAAUGGAUGAGAACGGCCUGACCUAAGCCUACCAGUCUUAGACAGAACAGGGCCUUCUCCUUACUACCUUGGGUAUUUUUCGCAUUAAACAAUCCCUACAAUAUGAAACUGCAAUUUAGUUACCUUAAGAUGGACUUAUUGACAUAUUGCACAAAAGAAGUAUAUUGAAACUUACCAGGGUGCUCUGUAAGUCUGUAACUCAGACUCUGGGUCCUUGAUGACAUCCUGAUUAGUUUAAAACUUUGACCUUGCUCGUACCCAGCUAUUGGGACACCUGGCAGGAUAUUGAAAAUGUUAUGGUCGGGAUUACUUAUCAAAGAAGGAGGCGUCAGUAGGCGGCCAGCAGAGUCCUUUUUGCAUUGGAUAGCUAUUAGUUAAGUUUUGGUUGUGCAAUUAGUUGAGAUAUGCGUGUUUGAGUUAUUAUAGGACUCUAUCUCUAAUUGUAAUCCGGCCUAUUUAUAGAGGCCAUAGAGGAGGAAUAGAUAAGCUUAAACCAAUCUAUUAUCUCAUCUCCUAUUCUCUGUCUUCCUCAUCCUUGCUGCCAUCGUCGCCCAGGCGACCUUCCCCCCAGCCAAGAAGCCAACAACUCAGCAGCUGGCAACCUCCCAUAGCUACCCCAUACGCUCACUACCCCAGGGUCGUGACAACUUGGUAUCAGGAUUUGGGUCUGCAUCCAUGGGCACUCCGGCUGAUCUUGAUGAGGUGAAGAAGCUCCUGGCUGCCCAGGGCGACGCCAUCAAGCUCCUGCGCCAGGACUCCGAAGAUCGCAGCUCCAAGCUGGCAACAAGCGUUGACAAACUCGCCUCCUCCGUGCAGGUCCUCUUGGACCGUAUCGCUCAGUUGGAGACCCGGACGAUUGCGUCCGAUUCAGUGUCCCUAGAGUCCGGGGCUGCGACUCUCAAGCCUGCUGGCCCGACAGCUCCACCUGAGAGCGCGCGCCCCGCACUCGCUGGCAAGGGCAUCCUGCCACGCGACGGCUCCCUGCAGCAUGGCUCCGACCUCCUGCCCAAGCGGCACAUUGAUGAGCUCCCUUCUCCUCGGCUCUUCGGCUCUUCUUCGACCAAUACCAGUGCUCCAACAGAUGGCAUGGUGCUUCGAUACUUCAAGCUCGAUUUCCGGCGCUAUGAUGGGAAGGAUGAUCUGCUGCCUUGGCUCAAUCGCUGCGAGCAGUACUUCCGAGCUCAGUGGACAGAACCUCAACACAAGAUGUGGUUGGCCACCUUCCACCUCGACGGCGACGCGUACCAUUGGUAUGCCUAUCUGGAGCGCAGCCGCGGCGUGCCGCCAUGGGAGGAGUUCCGGGACCUCUGCAAUGUGCGCUUCGGGCCAUCAAUCCGCAGCAAUCCGCUGGGGGAACUUCGACACUUGCGCCAGACUGGAUCUGUUGCAGACUACCAGAGCAAGUUCCUCACGCUCCUCAGCCGUGCGAUCCGUUGACAGAUCGCCAGGAGCAACAGAUGUUCACGUCCGGGCUUAUCGACGACAUUCGCAUGGACGUGGAGCUGCACAGCCCUGUGAUCUAGAGCAUGCCUGCAGCCUCGCCCGGGCUUAUGAGAAGAAGGUCCGCUUCCACGCCUCCAGCCGCUUCGGCUUGGCGCGCUCGACACGGCCCCCUCCGUUCCCAGCUGCAAGCUCGAGUCCGUCUUCAGCGCCCGUGGGUUCGACACCUUUGGAGUCUCCCAUGCCACACCCAGUUCGUCGCCUGACGCCCGGAGAGAUGGUGGAGCGCCGUCGGCAAGGCCUCUGCUUCAACUGCGAUGAAAAAUUCGCCUGCGGCCACAAGUGCGCCCACCUGUUCUUCAUCGAGUACGACGACUCGGAGCUGGACGACUUCGUGGACGGGGGCGGUGAGGUGGCCGACGACGAGCCACACAUCUUGCUCUACGCGGUGGCAGGAGUGACGGCGGCGGACACUAUGCGCCUCCGCAUUCGCAUCCACGACCAGGAACUCCUGGCUCUCGUGAACUCCGGCUCUUCCCACAACUUCAUCCGGGACGAUGUGGCGCACCGGCUGGGCGUUGCAUUACAGCCGGUGCGGUCUGGCCUCAACGUCAUCGUCGCCAACGGCGACAGGCUACCCUGCACUAGCGUCUGCACCGCCCUGGACAUUCAGGUAGGGGCGGAGCCGUUCCAAGUGGAAUGCUUCUCCCUCGCUCUCGGCGGCUACGACGUCAUCCUUGGGACGCAAUGGUUGCGUACGUUGGGGCUCAUCCUCUGGGACUUUUCGACGCUCUCCCUGACAUGCUGCCUCAACAGUCGCCGCGUGACGUGGCUCGGCGAGCGGGGCCGCAAAGCGCCUUCAUGCCACCAGCUCCAGGCGGACUCCCUGCUGCAGCAUCUACUGGAGGAUUUUGCUAGUCUCUUCACCGAGCCCAUGGGACUCCCUCCAGCACGCUUCCACGACCAUCGCAUCCACCUGGAGCCUGCUACCCGACCCGUCGCCGUACGGCCAUACCGUUACCCCCAACUGCAGAAGGAUGAGGUUGAACGACAGUGUGCAGAGAUGCUCCGCCAAGGCAUCAUCCGCUUGAGCACGUCGACAUUCUCCUCGCCGGUCCUCCUCGUCAAGAAACAUGACGGCUCAUGGCGGUUCUGCGUCGACUACCACGCCCUCAACGCCAUCACCAUCAAGGCCAAGUUCCCCAUCCCGGUGGUAGAGGAGCUCCUAGAUGAACUCCACGGCGCGCGAUUCUUUACCAAGCUGGACCUCCGCUCCGGGUACCACCAGGUACGCAUGCACGCCAGUGACAUUGCAAAGACGGCGUUCCAGACGCAUCCAGGCCACUACGAGUUCCUGGUGAUGCCGUUUGGCUUGUGCAACACCCCAGCCACCUUCCAAGCCCUCAUGAACGACAUCCUCGGCAAGUAUCUCCGCCAAUUCGUGCUUGUUUUCUUUGAUGAUAUCCUAAUCUACAGCAAGACCUGGGCGGGCCAUCUGCGACACGUUUGUCUCAUCCUCGACACGCUUCGCCAGCACGGCCUUCGUCUCAAGCGGUCCAAGUGCGAGUUCGGGGUGCCCAAUGUAUCCUACCUGGGCCAUGUGGUGUCCGCGGACGGGGUGGCUAUGGACAGCCACCUUCCAAGCCCUCAUGAACGACAUCCUCGGCAAGUAUCUCCGCCAAUUCGUGCUUGUUUUCUUUGAUGAUAUCCUAAUCUACAGCAAGACCUGGGCGGGCCAUCUGCGACACAUUUGUCUCAUCCUCGACACGCUUCGCCAGCACGGCCUUCGUCUCAAGCGGUCCAAGUGCGAGUUCGGGGUGCCCAAUGUAUCCUACCUGGGCCAUGUGGUGUCCGCGGACGGGGUGGCUAUGGACAGCCAGAAGAUCAAAGCCGUGGUGAACUGGCCGCACCCGGGCUCGAUGCCGGCACUCCGUGGUUUCCUCGGGCUCGAUGCCGGCACUCCAUGGUUUCCUCGGGCUCGCCGGGUACUACCGACGCUUCAUCCAAGGAUACGGCAGCCUGGCUGCGCCGCACAUGGCUUACUCACGAAGGAUGGAUUUGUCUGGUCUGACGUGGCAAACAACUCAUUUCAGGCCCUCAAGCAUGCCCUGUCCACAGUGCCCGUCCUCCAGCUCCCUGAUUUUUCACGACCGUUCAUGGUGGAGUGUGACGCGUCAGGAUCCAGGAUGGGCGGUGUCCUGCAUCAGGGAGGCAGUCCUGUCGCUUUCUUCAGCCGGGCUAUGGCCCCUCGGCACGCAGGGCUGGCAGCCUACGAGCGGGAACUUAUCGCGCUAGCCUAGGCGAUCAAGCAUUGGAGGCCCUACCUCUGGGGCCGAUCCUUUAUCAUCAAGAUAGAUCACUACAGCUUGAAGUUCUUGCUUGAUCAGCGGUUGUCCACAAUUCCCCAGCACUGGUGGAUCAGCAAGCUCAUGGGCUUCGACUUCACCGUGGAAUACAAGCCGGGCAGCACUAAUGUCGUGGCGGACACGUUGUCGCGGCGCGAGGCUGCCGCUGCCGAGGCCAUGGCUCUGUCCUCGCCCACGUUCCACCUAUGGGAAGAGCUCCGUCGGCAGCUGGGCGGCAUGCCAGACUACCAGCACCUGCGCCAGGAAGUGGAGGCUGGGCGCAAGGGGUCGCAAUGGGCAAUAAAGGAUGGCCUCGUCCUGAAGAUGCGUCGCGUGUUCAUGCCGGAGUAGCGCCGCUCAUUCCUUAGCUCCUGUCUCAGGCCCAUGAUGUCGCACAUGAGGGGACCCAACGCACCCUCCAUCGCCUCCGGGCAGACUUCCACAUCCCAGGCGACAAGGCCCUGGUGCAAGGCUUUGUCCGUGACUACUCCACCUGCUAGCGAAACAAGCUAGUCACCUGCAUCCGUCGGGCCUCUUGCAGCCGCUCCCUGUCCCAUCGCUGAUUUGGAGUGACAUCUCCAUGGAUUUCGUGGAGGGCCUGCCGUGCGUCAACAACAAGAUAGUGAUCCUCGUGGUGGUGGACCGCCUGUCCAAAGCGACGCACUUCAUCCCACUCGGGCACCCCUACACCGCCACUUCAGUGGCCCGGGCCUUCUUCGACGAGGUGGAGCGGCUUCACGGUCUACCAGCAUCCAUCGUUAGUGACCGCGACCCGGUUUCCACCAGCACUGUGUGGCCUGAAUUAUUCCGCCUCUCCGGGCCAAAGCUCCAUAUGACAUCCGCUUUUCACCCCAGAGCGACGAACAAUCUGAGGCGGCCAACAAGGUGAUCGUGAUGUAUCUCCGGUGUCUCACCGGCGACCAGCCCAAGCAGUGGCUUCGUUGGUUACCGUGGGUAGAAUAUUGCUUCAACACGGCCUAUCAUUCCGCGUUGCACACCACGCCAUUCAAGCUGGUGUAUGGCCAGGAUCCUCCUUCAAUGGUUGCUUAUGACAAGAGGGACGCUCGUGCGCCAGCUGUCGAUCAGAUGUUGCUGGACAGAGAUGAGUUCCUUCAGGUAGCUCGGGAACGUCAUUUGCAGGCUCAAGAACAUGCCAAGCUCUACUACGACGCCAAGCACACUGCCAUGGCGUUUGGCGUGAGCGACUGGGUUUGGGUAAAACUUCUACACCGGCCAGUAGCAUCCCUGCCAGAACACACUAAAGGGAAGUUGGCUCCACGCUUCUAUGGGCCGUAUCAAGUGCUGGAACGCAUCGGCGAUGUCGCGUACAAGCUUCAGCUUCCGGCAGGGGCUCGUAUUCACAACGUCUUCCAUGUUGGUGUGCUCAAGCCGUUCCAUGGUCAGGCUCCAAGUGCUGCACCGCCGCUGCCUCCAAUGCUCAACGGCCGGGUGCUGCCCACACCGUCUGCUGUCAUCCGAAGUCGCCUUGCUCGUGGCCAGUGGCAGGUCUUAGGCUUGCCUGCCAGUGAGGCCACCUAGGAGGAUGUGGAGACAUUCAAGCACAGGUAUCCCGCCUUCAAGCUCGAGGACGAGCUCUUUCCGAAGGAGGGGAGAGAUAUUAUGGUCGGGAUUACUUACCAGAGGAGGCGGCGUCAGUAGGCGGCUAGCAAAGUCCUUUUUGCAUUGGAUAUCUAUUAGUUGAGUUUUGGUUGAGCAAUUAGUUGAGAUAUGGAUGUUUGAGUCAUUACAGGACUCUAUCUCUAAUUAUAAUCCGGCCUAUUUAUAGAGGCCGCAGAGGAGGAAUAGAUAAACUUAAACCAAUCUAUUAUCUCAUCUCCUAUUCUCUGUCUUCCUCAUCCCUGCUGCCAUCGUCGCCCAUGCAACCUUCCCCCGAGCAACACGGGCAAGAAGCCAGCAACUCAGCGGCCGGCAACCUCCCAUAGCUACCCCAUACGCUCACUACCCCAGGUCGUGACAGAAAAUGGUACAGGCUGAAAAUUAUGAAGUCUGAACUGCCUACCACUGAAAAUGUACUGUACAGUAAAACCUGCCAGGUCCUUUAUCUAAAAAAAAAAGGAUUAAGGAGCUGCAACCUGUUCUACUUCCUGCUAAAUUAAUAUAUACACAUUUCCAUUGGACAAUUCAAGCGGAGGAAUGGCUGUUUUUUAACUCCUCACGUAGAAGUGCUCAAUACUCCCUCCGUCAUAAAAAGAGUGUUCAUUUAACCUCCAAAACUUAUCCCACAAAAAGUGUUUAUAUAACUUUUGAACCAUCCAACAAAGGUCCUCAUAAUACUUUCUGGCCUAACGAAUCAAUCAUUUACUUCCACCAUCGAUGUACGAGCCAGACUCACUAAACAAGGAAGACUAAUGGGUCUAACAAUUACUGCAAGCGUGCAUGCAUAAUUAAUUCUACUCGGUAAUCCAUCUGAUUAACAAGAGCUAUUAUGAGUACUUUAGCAUUGCAACUAUCUUGUCUAAAAUUUUCUAAACAAUAAACUAUCUUGUCUAAAAUUUUCUAAACAAACAGUCUUUGUGGGACGAGAGAGUAGGUUGCUGCUGGAAAGCUUUCCACUUCACACAACUUUUACUCUCUUUUCACUUGCUUCUAAGAGAAGGGGAAAUUAAAGUUAUGUCUUUCUCAAAAAAUUAAGGCCUGGUUUGGUUCGUUUGCUUAUUUUUAAGCACCCGUCACAUCGAAUGUUUAGAUACUAAUUAGGAGUAUUAAACGUUGACUAUUUACAAAACCGAUUACAUAAGUGGAGGCUAAACGGCGAGACGAAUCUAUUAAGCCUAAUUAGUCCAUGAUUUGACAAUGUGUUGCUACAGUAAACAUUUGCUAAUGAUGGAUUAAAUUAGGCUUAAUAGGUUCGUCUCGCAGGUUAGGCCUCCAGCUCAUGUAAGGGGGUUUGUAAAUAGNNNNNNNNNNNNNNNNNNNNNNNNNNNNNNNNNNNNNNNNNNNNNNNNNNNNNNNNNNNNNNNNNNNNNNNNNNNNNNNNNNNNNNNNNNNNNNNNNNNNUAAGUGGAGGCUAAACGGCGAGACGAAUCUAUUAAGCCUAAUUAGUCCAUGAUUUGACAAUGUGUUGCUACAGUAAACAUUUGCUAAUGAUGGAUUAAUUAGGCUUAAUAGGUUCGUCUCGCUGUUUAGCCUCCACUUAUGUAAUGGGUUUUGUAAAUAGCCUACGUUUAAUACUCCUAAUUAGUAUCUAAAUAUUGAUAUGACACUUGCUUAAAAAUAAGCAAGGGAACCAAACGCCCCAUAAGUCACGUCUUAAGCCUCAUCACAAAGGCCAGGUGGUUCCCCCUAACAAGGAAGUGUCAAGAUCGUUGUGGGAACACCGGCCUAAAAUGCUCUCACGUGCCUUGACUAUCCGUCACAAACAGUUGCAAAUGAAUUUAAUUUGUUGCAUCUACUGCACCGCACGCAGAUUCAGGCUGGCAUCAUGGUUCAGUCACCCACCCUCAGAGCCGAUCCAGCCAUUGCUUACCCAGAAAUGGCUCGCUGGACAAGAACCCAGGCAAGUUUCCUGCACGCCUUCUUUCUUCUGCUACCCUGCGCAUCCACAUCCAGUGCGAUCGAGCAAGAAGCAGGCUCACUUCUCCGGUGGAAGUCCACCUUGUCGCCGGCCAAUGGCGGCGGUGAUUAUCCGUCAUCCCCUCUGCUCUCAUGGUCUCCUGGCAGGCCCACAUGUUCCUGGCAUGGCAUCCUUUGCGAUGCAGCUGGCUGUGUUACCGAGCUCAGCCUUCCCGGCGUUGGCAUCCAUGGCACGCUCACCGCGUUGAACUUCGCCGCAUUACCGGCUCUCACCAAGCUUGACCUCCGCAGGAACAACAUCAGUGGGCACAUCCCCAUCCCCGCAAACGUCACCGGCUUGGCAUACCUUGACCUGUCACAUAACAGCUUGUCCGGGGUGAUACCAGACACCCUGGCAAGGGCGACGCCAAGGAUGAAGCACCUCAACCUGUCAUCCAAUGGAUUGCAUGGGCCAAUACCACGGUCAAUCUCCGGUAUGCAAGAGAUGCGCGCAUUCGACGUGUCAAAAAACAAGCUCACUGGGAAAAUUCCCCCAGAGUUGUUCAUGGAAUGGCCAGAGAUCACAGAAUUUCACGUGCAGAGCAAUUUCCUGAUGGGUGGCAUCCCUCCAGAUAUCAGCAAUGCAACCAAGCUACAGUCCUUGCUUCUCUACCGCAACAGCUUAUCCGGCCAAAUCCCAGUGGAGAUCGGGAAACUGAAAAACUUGCAAUUUCUGAUCUUGGCAUGGAAUUCCCUGACCGGACCGAUUCCGCAUACGGUCGGGAACCUGUCAAGACUUGUGCUUUUGGGUCUAUUCGUUAACAACCUUUCAGGGAGAAUACCACCAGAAAUCUCCAAUUUGGCAGCACUGGAAGCCCUUGACCUUGAUACCAACCAGCUGGAGGGUGAGGUGCCGGAAGCCAUGUCCUCUCUCCAAAGUCUCCAAUACCUGGAUCUUAGUAGCAACAGGUUGUCUGGAAUGGUACCAUACCUCAGCAUCAGUAAAUUGCAUGCCAUAUCCUUGGAAAACAAUAGAUUCACAGGGGAAUUUCCUCUGGCAUUUUGUCAGCAAGCUUCUUUGGAAAUCCUGGACCUAUCAAACAACCAGCUGUAUGGAGAACUUCCUCCCUGCCUGUGGAGCUUGCAGAAGAUACAGUUCAUUGAUUUGUCGAGCAAUGCCUUCUCUGGGAAUAUCCAAACCUCAGCAAAAUCCAGUUUGUUUCUAGAAUCAGUACAUCUGGCGAAUAACAAUCUCAUGGGAGAAUUUGCACUUGUCCUCAAGAGAUGCAGAAGGCUAACUAUUCUGGAUCUUGGUGAGAACAAUUUUUCUGGCACAAUUCCUUCAUGGAUAGGAGCGAGCAAUCCCUUGCUAAGGGUGCUCCGGUUGCGAUCAAAUAUGCUCCAUGGGAAUAUUCCUUGGCAGCUGUCACAUCUUUCUUCCCUCCAGCUACUGGAUCUAGCAGACAACAGUUUCGUAGGUUCCAUACCAAGAAGUUUGGCCAAUCUAACAGCCAUGAUGCAGCCAAAAGCAGAGUUGAACAUACCCCUGGAAGUCAACUAUCAAGUUCUGGGUAAAUUUGCCAGGUAUGCAUACACAGAGCGAAUAAACAUAAACUGGAAGGGACAGUAUCAUACCUUUGAAGGAACCAUUGCACUUAUGACAGGCAUCGAUCUGUCGAGCAACUACCUUUCUGGUGAAAUCCCUCUGGAGCUAUCAAAUCUUCAAGGUCUCAGAUUCCUAAAUUUUUCAAGAAAUCAUCUCUCUAGCAGUAUUCCAAAAGACAUUGGUAAUUUGAAGAUUCUGGAGUCCCUCGACUUAUCUUGGAAUGAACUAUCUGGCUCCAUUCCUUCAAGCAUCUCAAAACUGAUGUCCCUUAAUUCGCUAAAUCUGUCCAACAACAAGCUUUCAGGUGAGAUACCAACCGGUUCUCAACUUCAAACACUUGCCGAACCAUCAAUUUACAGCAACAAUUUGGGGCUCUGUGGUUUCCCACUGAACAUAGCAUGUUCAGAUGGUUCAAAUUCUACACCAGCACCGAACAGCCAAAGCCAAGAGCUUGAAGCGCUAAGCUGGUAUUACUCUGUACUGGCUGGGCUGACAUUUGGAUUCUGGUUAUGGUCUGGACCACUGCUUCUCUUCGAGCCUUGGAGGGUUGCUAUCUUCCGCUGCAUCGAUCAUAUACAGGAUAGGGCUGUACAAAAGGUUUUCAUUGUCUAAUAUCUGUAUGACAUGGUAAAAAGUAGUUACGGCUUGUUUGUACCGGGUGAUUUCGUUGGAAAGUUUUGGAUCCAGUUCAAGUUGGAUAACAGACAAUAGUUUUCCAUUGUGUGUUUUUUUCUGCAUUGUUCUUAUUUUGUAACAAAUCUUACGGUUGCAAACAGAACUCUGAAUGUGUUUAUGUGAUAUUAGAUGUUGUGAAGUAAUCUGGGUAUGCCAAUGAAAUGUUUACUAGCUCAGGUGCUGGCACUAGCAGCCUAGAUUUUGUCAUCAAAAUGUUAGCAGGAAAGUGGACGUUGAGCUAGGCCUACCAGUUUUAAAAUAGGACCUAACAGCAUCCCAACUCAACAUAAAAGGUUUUAAUGAGCUGUAUCAUACUUUUUAUCGAAGCAGUAAAAGAUUAGCGUGGGUUCUUUUGGAGGAAAAAACAAAAGAACAGGGUUCCAACUCCUACGGGAUUAGGCGGUUAAUUCCACCUCCAAAUUUGGAAGAAAUUAGCAAACUAAACUGACGUUGAAUUCCUCCACUGAAACCCCAUCUUCAGCCCAAUCCAUCGGGGUUGCCGGUUGCAUGUCACCUUCCAAAACCAUUCGGGUGCAAGAAUUGGAGGAAGCGGAACAUCGCAUACAGAGAAAAUCACAUGCUCCUUCAUGCACUUUUGAGUACCUCUUUGAGUUGGGUGUUUUGGCCUGUUACACUUGUAAAUACCAUGUCACAUGUGCCAUAAAUAAACCUUCAGACGUCAAAAAUGUAGCCCUCAAGCAGUUUCCUGCAAUCUACGAUAUUAUUAUUCUGAGUUCUGAUAACCACCAGAUAGAUACAUGUAAGGUUCUGCUGUCGUCGGUAUCAAGGUCGAUCAGACCCAGCCAUCACUCCGAGAAGCCUCCCAAGCCAUGAGUCUCUCGACAAAAGCCCAGGUAAAUCCUUUGUACACCUCAUUUCUUCUGCCACUUUGCACAGCCAUAUCCAGAGUGAUCGAGCAAGAAGCUGCAUCACUUCUCCAAUGGAAGUCCACUAUGUUGCCGAACGAUUACGGCGACAAACCUCAUUUGGAAUGACAUUGGUAAUUUGAAAUUUUUGGAGUCUCUUGACUUAUCUUGGAAUGAUAUAUCUGGUUCCACUCCUUCAAGCAUUUUAAAAUUGAUGUCUCUUGGUUCAUAUGUCAGGUGAGAUACCAACGGGUUCCCAACUCCAAACGCUUGCCGAACCAUCAACUUUCAGCAACAACUUUGUGCUCUGUGGUUUCCUGCUGAACGUAGCAUGUUCAGACGGUUUAAAUUCUACACCAGCACUGAGUUGCCAGAGCCAAGAGCUACGUUAAGCUGGUAUUACUCUGUUUCGCAAAAUAAAAAAAAAAGCUGGUAAUACUCUGUAUUAGCUAUUUAGCUGGGCUGACAUCUGGAUUCUGGUUAUGGUCUCUUUGGAUUCGGAGUAUUCAAUUUAAAAGUUUUGGGUCUAAUCAAAUUUGAAUAACAAGAUGACUUUUUGAUUAUUGUACCAGCUUCCACAUGUGUCCUUUUUUCUCUACCAUUCUUCAUUUUUUAACGAAUCACACAGUAGGGAUGCAGAUGCUCACGUACACGUAACCACACUUGUCCUUAAUCUUGAGGAAAGGAUCGGUUGCCUUCACAAAACACAGGAAAAAAAUCAUCCACUCCGAGCUGUGGUUUCGCGGCAGAACGGAGCGAGAGGGAGAUAAACGAAGCAUCAACUGCUCGAAAAAAUCAAUUUAGAGUAAGAAACAAACAAAGCAACGAGGUAAAAAAAGGACUCAGUCUCGUGGGCGCCGGCCUGUCCCCGAUGUUGCUCGAGAUCGCCAGUCAUCGUCGGCCGCCGCGGCCGUCGCUGGACGAGGUUGUCGAGCUCCUCGCCUCCUCGCAUGCUACCGUGGUUGCCGCCGCAAACCAGGAGCACUAAUCUUGCCAUCCACCCCCACCAAAAGCCAUCCUCACUCCACAGGAUUGAGAUCGACGAAGGGGCAAAGCAGAUCUUGGAAAACUAUGUUGUCUUCUCUUUUUCGUCUUUUUUAUCCUUUUCUGGUUAGGAAUAUAACGAUGUCGUCGAUGUGCCUUUCGAGUUUGGACUCUGGACUUCUGGAGAAGAACGAGUUUAUUUUAUUUUUUUUUAUUUUUUGAGGGGGUUCUGGAGAAGAACGAGUGGAUCGGAGAGCUCAACGCUGGGCCAUCUGUAUAAAAAAAAUGCUGGGCCAUCUGUUUUGAAAA